This 92-nucleotide ribosomal RNA is filed under the name Neobacillus drentensis. Lineage: Bacteria; Bacillati; Bacillota; Bacilli; Caryophanales; Bacillaceae. The record is from RNAcentral.
CACCCGUUCCCAUACCGAACACGGAAGUUAAGCUUCUCAGCGCCGAUGGUAGUUGGGACACGCGUCCCUGUGAGAGUAGGACGUUGCCAGGC